RNAcentral lists this ribosomal RNA (497 nucleotides) under uncultured bacterium. RNAcentral describes it as "partial 16S ribosomal RNA". It matches the Rfam family "Bacterial small subunit ribosomal RNA", at positions 28 to 507 of the family's 1533-position model. The record is from RNAcentral.
GAUGAACGCUGGCGGCGUGCCUAAUACAUGCAAGUCGAGCGAACGGACGAGAAGCUUGCUUCUCUGAUGUUAGCGGCGGACGGGUGAGUAACACGUGGAUAACCUACCUAUAAGACUGGGAUAACUUCGGGAAACCGGAGCUAAUACCGGAUAAUAUUUUGAACCGCAUGGUUCAAAAGUGAAAGACGGUCUUGCUGUCACUUAUAGAUGGAUCCGCUCUGCAUUAGCUAGUUGGUAAGGUAACGGCUUACCAAGGCAACGAUGCAUAGCCGACCUGAGAGAGUUACCGGCCACACUGGAACUAAGACACGCUCCAUACUCCUACGGGAGGCACCAGUAGGGAAUCUUCCGCACUGGGCGCCAGCCUGACGGUACAACGCCGCGUGAGUUACGAAGGUCUUCGGAUCCUCAAACUCUGUUUUUAGGUAAGAACAUAUGUGUAACUAACUGUGCACAUCUUGACGGUGCCUACCCAGAAAGCCACGGCUAACUACGUG